Molecule: transfer RNA, 77 nt
Filed under: Deltaproteobacteria bacterium
Lineage: Bacteria; Pseudomonadati; Myxococcota; Myxococcia
Description: tRNA-Ala
Rfam family: tRNA
About the family: Transfer RNA (tRNA) molecules are approximately 80 nucleotides in length. Their secondary structure includes four short double-helical elements and three loops (D, anti-codon, and T loops). Further hydrogen bonds mediate the characteristic L-shaped molecular structure. tRNAs have two regions of fundamental functional importance: the anti-codon, which is responsible for specific mRNA codon recognition, and the 3' end, to which the tRNAs corresponding amino acid is attached (by aminoacyl-tRNA synthetases). tRNAs cope with the degeneracy of the genetic code in two manners: having more than one tRNA (with a specific anti-codon) for a particular amino acid; and 'wobble' base-pairing, i.e. permitting non-standard base-pairing at the 3rd anti-codon position.
Source: RNAcentral
GGGGCUGUAGCUCAGUUUGGGAGAGCAUCAGAAUGGCAUUCUGGGGGUCACCGGUUCGAUCCCGGUCAGCUCCACCA